GGAUGUGAGGGCAAGGAGGCUGCAACAUCUAAAUGCCAGUGAUUGACUCAGCCAGGGUUGAUUCAGCUUACCUAGCAGAAUGCAUGGUCUCCCUCCCUCCCUCCCUCAGUACUCCACCUGUGUCUCUUCAGAUACAGCAUGUUUGGUCACAAAAGAGGAUUUUCCCGACAUAGACUGAAGGUGUAUGAAUAUCUGUGCUCACCUGCUAGAACUUCCCAAGAAGCUCUCAAGGUCCUAAAAAGACCUGCGUCCCCCUCACCUCAGAACCUUGAAGCUGAGCUGUCAGGG
This is an unclassified non-coding RNA of Erinaceus europaeus (western European hedgehog), 288 nucleotides long. Its record names the gene 7SK. It matches the Rfam family "7SK RNA". Rfam says of the family: 7SK was discovered as an abundant small nuclear RNA in the mid-70s but a possible function has only recently been suggested. Two independent studies have found that 7SK RNA binds the CDK9/cyclin T complex (known as elongation factor P-TEFb). NCBI's taxonomy places the organism in Eukaryota, Metazoa, Chordata, Mammalia, Eulipotyphla, Erinaceidae. The record is from Ensembl.